CAUUUUAAUUAUACGGGGAGCGAAACAAAGUCAAAGCAGAACAAUGAACAAGAGCAAAUAUAAAGAAAGGGAGGCUAGUUAAUGGAACAUUAACGUAAGAAUUUAAUGCAACCAGGCUGAAUCCGUUUUGCAGCAUGGAAGGAAGGAAAACAGUGCUAUUGUCCUGGAAAGAAGUGAGCGCAGCCUAGCUCCCAGCCUGUUGUACGUGGAAGGGCUGCCGUGGCCCUGAGCGGGUUGUUUCCGCUGGAGAGAUGCUUUUAACACUGAGCAUCUUUAGGGAUCUGGGAACCAACUAUCUAGCCUUGAAACCCAUAGAAAUGCCAGGUACACAGCCAUUCAUUCUUAUCAUUUAAUCUCCAUUGGCAAAUAGCUCAGAGUAUACUCUAAGCUACUCUUGCCACAGUCCUACCUGUACAAUAAGACACAUUUUGAAAAGAGCCAUCCAUUUGCCAGGACACCAUUUUUAGCACACACCACACCUGGUUAUUCUUAUACCCCAAAUGUGGGCAUUUCAUAAGGGUCAAGUUACCACUCGUACCCUCUGUGGUCAGAGUGAAAAAGAGGCUGUGCUAAAGAUACAUAGAUAUAAUUCUAAUGUACUAACAAUGCCGAUGUGCUGGUAUCAUGCAAUGUGCUAAUAUGAUUGUGGUACAUAAUAAUGUGAUGCUAAUGCCAAAAUUUGCCUUCUCCUCUUGCAUGGGGAAGAGCCACUCUCUUCCACUGGCCUGCUGACUACAGAGGGAGCCCAGGGUGACCACCUGGCUGGUUUAACUGCUCAGCAUUGGAUCACAAUGCUGCCAGGAGCAAGUAACUUUCCUUAAAGGAGCCCCUCUAAAAUCUGUUCAGGUUUCAAGUAAACUCUUUCCUAUUCCAAACCUCUUUGGUUUUCCCACAAUUAGUGUGAGACACUUCAACAUAUGUGCAUGAGAAGAAGAGAUGGAAGUUAAGGAUCCUUUGCUUAUUUGUCCCAAAUGCUGUCUCAGCUUGUGUGACUGUUGGUGCUGUGAUGAAAUUUUUAUUACAGUCCCUGAACUUAAGCCAAGUUUUCAGACCUGUUGAUGACAUGUCAGAAAGUGCAAAAGAAUCAAAGGGUUUUCCACAGAAAGCAUUUAUGUGUCAUGAGAUACGUAUUUUAACCAUAAACUUGCAGUUCCUGGCAGACUGUGACUGGUUUAGUUAAGCUUACAUAAAUCAAAGCACAAUGCACAGACUAUGAACAUCAAAAACAUCAGAAUCCCACAAACAGGUAUGUCACUGCCUGGCAGCUUUGGCCAAAAUUUGCAAAAAGGGAUCAAAGAGCUUCUACUCAACAUGUAGGACUUAAUGUAAAUCAUAGUCAUCCUACUGGGGGUUUCGCAAUUGCCUUUACUAGGAGGCAAAGUCAUCCUUCUGUGGGGAGGCAGGAAGCAAGAAGAGUCAUCCUUAAUAUGAAGGGGUAUCCUAAUAUAUUCUGCAGUUACUUGAACAAGUGGUUUUUUUGUGUGUUGUUUUUUAAAGCAGCUAACUAGCUAGUAUCACUAUGUAGAUAUACAAGCAAGUCAAUAAAGCAAGCCAUAUGUCAUUUCAUAGUUGUUUUUUAAUCAUCUUAGUAUGCUUUUAUGUAAUGCAUGUUCCUAGCAAAUGCACUACAGAUUUGAGAAAGUGCUGCUAGUGAACAGUGAGAUGGCAAAGAAUAGAAAAAUAUACUUGCUUAAAGUUAUAUCAUAGUAUUCCAAAUUUCAUUAUGAUGUUUGGACCUGAAUGAUUUCCACUGAAUAGUAGGACCUUUUCCAAAUGCCACUUCAGGGAGAAGUAUUAGGCUGUUUAUGCAAUGAAUGGAUCAAAGUGUAAAGUCUCAAGUCUUCAAAUUUUGAAUUUCGUCUGAUACUAGACCUAGGCCAGGAUCAAAAUAACCUUCCCCCAAAUCUGAAAAACUUGCAAUUUUAAAAGCUGACUGUUGCCAAACUUCUUAAAAUUUUAAAUCCAGAAACAUAUGCAGUUCUGAUUCUUUCAACAUUAUCACCCUAAUGCAGUGUGUCUGGAUCCCAUGUUGUAGUUUAUUGCAUCAUAAAUGCCUCCAUUGUGUAACACUCUAUGUAAAACCUCAGUAAAAUAAGCCAUUGAUCAUGGGAACCAGAGUAAAUAUGGAUAACCAGAUUUUUUUUUCUGUUUUUACUGGAAUUCUUAAUCCAGCAAAAUUAAUGUACCACCACAGAAGGCCACAGUUUGCUCUUCUGCUCUACAUCUUCUAACUAUAUUUAUAGCCCAUUUCAGAAAAGAAACUAAUUAGCACAGCCCUUGACUAUUCCAUUCCAUCAUCAGAAUGAAUGAAGGAUGGUGUGUAAAACUAUUUGGAAUUAUGGCCUUUUCAGGAACAUUUCUUGUGACUCAGUGUUAGAGGAUAUGCCAGUGAAAACAACUGUUAAAUGAAUGGAGCUUGGGAUCCAUUCCUCAGAGGUUUGCCUGCUUCACCUUCUACUAUCCUAGUAUCCACAAAUUUUCCCCUCAAGCCAACCAGUAGGAGAUGGUUUUGGCCAUUCCUCUCUUCCAGGAGUACUUGAGAAAGUUGCAGAGGCCAGGCCAGUUAUCCUGAUGGCAAAUGGAGAAAAAUCUCUGGGUGUUUCAGAGGAGUCUAAAUGGUAGUAUAUCUGAAGUCUACAGUGUGUUGUAUUAAUGUUGCCAGGUCAAAUCUUUUGGGCCCAGAUGUUCUCUUGCAUGUAAAUACAGAAGUGCUUGCAAAAGUCGGAACAAACUUUCUUCCUGGAGCUGAUCAUGUAUGUCAGCAGUAAUUCAAAUCACCCCUGGAAGAGCCUGUGGUAUUAAAGCUUUCCUUCUGGAGCGGGUCAGACUCACUUUAUUCUUCUCUGAGGAUAGUUUUUCACACUAUUCAGGUACAUAUAAAGCUGGCAGGACAGAGGGCUUGGCAUCACUUCACUGUAGGCAGCCCAGCUCUAAUGAGAGGCCCUUCUAGACCCCACUAGAAGCAAACUGGUUUGCAUUUUCCUUAGUAUGUGCUCUGUACCAUAAUGUUGUCACAUCCUCAAGUGCAGCAUUGAUGGAAGCUCUGCAAUGGCCUUGUGGAGGGUAAUGAAGUGUCAGCAGUAAGAAGCAGGAGACAUUCAUGAAAAUAUUCAUCUCUGGCCUCAUCUGUUGACACCCAGUAGGAUUGAUGCAUGAACAUAGCAGACGAAGGACAUAAACAGGCAAGAGACUGGCAAAUAUCUCAUUAACAGCUGAUAUAUGUGACAUCUUCUUUUGGAAGACAGAUGAGCAGAAGGUACUCAGAAAAAGUUCCCAGCAUUACAGAUGCAAGUAACAGCAGGGGGUGGCAGCUCCUGGAAUUAUUUCUGCAAUUUCCUGAACAUUUUCCAUGAAGUGCUGACUUGCAGUCUGCAGUCUGUAUCACUUAGAGCAAUAUUCAGCAUCACAAAGGAUCAGAUCCCAUAGCAGAAUCCAGCGAAUCUGGACUUACAACUUGUCAGCAGUAAUCCACUGUCUAAAUCAAAGAUGUGUGAGAAGCCAUAUCUUUCCAUUUCCACCUAGAGGCCACAGGAUAUAGGAACAUACUACAGCCUCACAGGUAGGGAAAGAUUCAGAUCAGAUAGGUGGAGGCCAGGAAGAACAAUGAGAAUUGUGAGGAACUCAGAGCCCAUGGAAUGUAAGGAAACACUGGUAGUCUGCCAGACUAUUGGUCGUCAAAAGCAACAGUUAAAGAAAACUAAGCAGGAGAAAAAUGGUAAGAAUAUGGCUACUUAUAAAGGAGUGGAAAACAUCUUUUCAUAUACACUGAAGAUCAAGAAAAAGUUUAUUUCAAGAGAGACUUAGGUUUAGAUUUCAGAUAAAAAAUUUCUAGUGAUACAAGUAAUGGAACACCAAAAUGCAUUACCGAGAGAAGCUGUUAAAUUUCAUGUGCGAGUCAAGAUUUUUUAAAAUGCAUUGAGAAGGUGCUUUCUUGUAUGGAUAGUUAUUCCCUUCAGAAAGGUGGAAGGACAGACCAGCUGUUCUGAAACACAGGAUCUUACUAUGAAGUCUGUUUUCUCUACUGUGUUAUAGCUAUUUUUUUCUAUGGUCUGGGAAGAAGCUAACCAACUUUAGACCUGCCGAUGUUGGAAGCAAAAAAAAAAAAAUCUUACUUUUCUCACAUUUUCCUUCUUCCCUUUUAAUUUUUUCUUUUCUGUUUGUUUCUUCUGGAUCCAUUGAAUAGGGAAUGGCUUUUGUCUCACUGCUAGACUAACACUCUGUAAUCUUUCUUCCAUAUCUGUGCAAAGCUACUCUCUUUUUCUUGUGUGUUUCUAGAGUACAUCCCUGCAAAGUUAUACUAAAUCCUUGCUUGAUUGCACAUUGGAUACACAGUUUUCAACGACAGAAAUAAUCCUAUUCCUGCAGAUAUUAUCAAGAUUUGUUCCCAGCUUCUGAUUCUUAAGUUAGCAGAAGCAUAAUUUUUCUUAUAUGUAGUUUUGGUCAACAUGAACUUGGCUGUGAAAGAGAAUUCUCAGUCACUGAACUGCUGUGAGUUUUUAAAGAACCAGGCCUAUACAAAAGUUACUCGCUGUUCUUCCAAAAGAUCCCAGAAGUAGUACCUCACUGUACUGGGAAGAGAUUAUUUACUCUCCUUUUUUUUUAAUUAUUUUUAUUUUUACUUUGCCUGACAGUUUUCAUAGAAUACUAAAUAAUGCCAGCAGGAUUUAAAUUUGAAUUCAGAAUUAUUUCAAUUACCUUAAAUGUUUCACUUUUUUUUCAAACUAAAUGCAUAAAUAGGAUCUGCUCAAACAUGCCUAGCAGGAGGCAUUUAAAUGCCUCAUGCAGAUAGGCUGUUCCCUGCUUCCUUGUUUGGUUUUCCCUUUCUUGUUUAAAAAAAUCCAGUAGUGAAUGAAUGAAACAUAAUUAUGCAAAUAUGCUAAAUCCAGUUGACAGGCAGGAUGCAGGCAAUGCUAAAGCAAAACUGGUAAGCUAAGGGCAAUGUCUACAUUUCAUUAUUUAUAUGGGGCUAGAUGUGAAAAGGCAUUUGAGCACCCAGAGAGACAGGCAGUCAGUAAUAUUUACAAAAACACCUCACUGUGUGUGGUGUAUUAUUCCUGUACAGUUUUACUAGUGGCAAUGUGGGGAAAUUAGUAGGGGAAAUUAGUCAGCAGUGGUCCUCCAAAUUAAUCUACUUUAUGAGUCAGCAAUCUUAUGUGUUUCUCUGAAUGCAAAUCCCAAGUGCAAAACAAGUGUCAUGCAUAAAUCGGCACUCUCUGUUUUUUUAAAUUACUGCAUGCUGUGUGUAAGAAACGAGCAUUUUGUACAGUAUAUAGAAACUCUGCUAGUGACAGUUUUACCUGUUCAUAUUGAAAUGCUGUAGGAAAUUAUAGAUCAUGAGCUGUAAUUUCAGUGGUAAACCCAAAAGUUAUUUCCAAGUCUCUGCAAAGGUGUGUCAUAAAUCUGGUCAAAGAGAACAUGACAAAGAACUUACAUAGUUAGCAUUUUUCUCCUGUAAGGAGCUGAAGAAAAACUGAAAAGAAAAAAAAAAAAGCAAUGGCAGUAUUGUUUCUAUGUGCAAUUUAUGAAAGACAUUGCUUCUGACACAGCUACUUAUGGAUACUGACCUUUGUAAAGGAAUAAGGAUGCAAACCUUCAUAUGUUGAGGUAGAUUGGUCAUUAUGAAUAGAGUCGAGGAUUCCAAGCAAAAUAAAGCCUAAAAUUUGUCAGUUUUAGCAGUUUGCUAUAAAACUCACACAACAAAUUUGUUUUGAGUCCAAUCUAUUGAACAGUCACAUUACUGAGUUGGACAAUGAAUUAUGGAGUACACAUAAAACUGGCAGAUGGCAUCUUUCUAGGAGGGAUUCCAAGCACUUCGGAGGACAAGAUCAGUACUCACAGAGAUCCUAAAAAUGUUGCUGAAAUACUCCAAAACCAACAGUAUUAAAUUUUAAGGAAUUAUAUGCUUGGGAAGGAAGAAAACCAACAGAAAAUGUGAAAUGGCUGAACAGAAAAACAUCUAGCAGCAAUGAUGAAUUAAAAUAUCUUAAUAUGUUUGAACAUUAUAUCAAGUAAAAAGACCAGUGUCAUUCUGGAGUGUGCUAGGUGGCAUGCCAUAAUUUAGAGAUGGAGGUCUUUAUUCUGCCCCAUGCAGCAGUAACAGGACUUCAGCUAAAAUAUGUGGUCAUAUUUUGAGCAUGGCAUUUUAAGAAAAGAUGCAGCCUGAGUGUGGGCCAAGAGCAUAAAUACUGCUAAGACAUUUAAAAAUGUGACAGAAGUUUGAAAGAAAUGGGUUUGUUUAGUUUUGAAAAGGAUGAGGAAUAAUUCAGUAAUCAUCAAAUAUGUAAAAUGAGCAUGGUCAUCAGUUACUCUCCAUGUUCACCCA
This is a long non-coding RNA of Passer domesticus (house sparrow), 6322 nucleotides long. RefSeq lists it as uncharacterized. The transcript is spliced from 3 exons. The record is from RefSeq and is a predicted model, not a curated record. Lineage: Eukaryota; Metazoa; Chordata; Aves; Passeriformes; Passeridae.